This 487-nucleotide ribosomal RNA is filed under the name uncultured bacterium. RNAcentral describes it as "bacterial SSU rRNA". It matches the Rfam family "Bacterial small subunit ribosomal RNA", at positions 21 to 507 of the family's 1533-position model. The record is from RNAcentral.
GGCUCAGGAUGAACGCUAGCGGCAGGCUUAACACAUGCAAGUCGAGGGGUAGAGGAAGCUUGCUUCCUUGAGACCGGCGCACGGGUGCGUAACGCGUAUGCAACCUACCUUUUACAGAGGGAUAGCCCAGAGAAAUUUGGAUUAAUACCUCAUGGUAUAUAUCAUUCGCAUGUUUGAUAUAUUAAAGUUCCAACGGUAAAAGAUGAGCAUGCGUCCCAUUAGUUAGUUGGUAAGGUAACGGCUUACCAAGACAAUGAUGGGUAGGGGUCCUGAGAGGGAGAUCCCCCACACUGGUACUGAGACACGGACCAGACUCCUACGGGAGGCAGCAGUGAGGAAUAUUGGACAAUGGGCGCAAGCCUGAUCCAGCCAUGCCGCGUGCAGGAAGACGGUCCUAUGGAUUGUAAACUGCUUCUAUACAGGAAGAAACACACCCUCGUGAGGGUACUUGACGGUACUGUAAGAAUAAGGAUCGGCUAACUCCGUG